Long non-coding RNA from Patella vulgata (common limpet), 305 nucleotides. RefSeq lists it as uncharacterized. The record is from RefSeq and is a predicted model, not a curated record. Lineage: Eukaryota; Metazoa; Mollusca; Gastropoda; Patellidae. The transcript has 3 exons.
CAGGUAUUUUUACCAACAGAUCAUCCUAAUACGUGGAUUUUAGCUAAAAUGUGGUAUAAUAAUGCUGAUGCCGCUUACCAUCAAUCACUAACACAUCUUGGACUUACGCAUCUUUUAAUGGAGGGAGUAACCGUAGCAACACAUCGCAAUCUUUCACAGUCACAUCCUGCUUUCAAGCUUUUAGCUCCACAUUUUCUGUAUUUGAUAGCUAUCAAUACACGAGGUUUAGAGGUGUUGAUAUCAGAAGGUGGUUGGGUAGAUAAAGUUAUGAACACUGGUAUCAAGGGAAUGUUUGAAUUAAUAAA